This 468-nucleotide ribosomal RNA is filed under the name uncultured bacterium. Its description in RNAcentral is "partial 16S ribosomal RNA". It matches the Rfam family "Bacterial small subunit ribosomal RNA", at positions 28 to 507 of the family's 1533-position model. The record is from RNAcentral.
GACGAACGCUGGCGGCGCGCCUAACACAUGCAAGUCGAACGGAGCGGCGAGGAGCUUGCUUUUCGUAGGUUAGUGGCGCACGUGUGAGUAACGCGUGAGUAACGUGCUCUGGUGUGGGGGACAACAAGGGGAAACGACUGCUAAUACCGCAUAAGCCCACGAUCCGGCGUGGGGGUGGGGGAAAAGGAGUUAUUCGGGUCAGGAUCGACGCGCGUCAAAUUGGCGAGGUGGUGGGGUAACGGCCCAGCAAGGAGAGGAUUGGGAGCCGGGCUGGGAGGUGGAACGGCCACAUCUGGACUGAGACACGGCCCCGACUCCUACGGGAGGGAGGAGUGGGGUAUAUUGCACAAGGGGGGCAGCUCCGAUGCCGCGGCGUCGCGUGGAAGAAGAAGCUUUUCGGAUUGUAAACUCCCGUCGUUCGGGACGUUAGUGACGGUACCUAAUAAGAAAGCACCGGCUAACUACGUG